RNAcentral lists this ribosomal RNA (433 nucleotides) under uncultured bacterium. RNAcentral describes it as "partial 16S ribosomal RNA". It matches the Rfam family "Bacterial small subunit ribosomal RNA", at positions 29 to 507 of the family's 1533-position model. The record is from RNAcentral.
AACGAACGCUGGCGGCAUGCCUAACACAUGCAAGUCGAACGAGACCUUCGGGUCUAGUGGCGCACGGGGGCGUAACGCGUGGGAACCUGCCCUUAGGUUCGGCAUACCUCCCCGAAAGGGGUGCUAAUACCGGAUAAUGUCUUCGGACCAAAGAUUUAUCGCCUUUGGAUGGGCCCGCGUUGGAUUAGCUAGUUGGUAGGGUAAAAGCCUACCAAGGCGACGAUCCAUAGCUGGUCUGAGAGGAUGAUCAGCCACACUGGGACUGAGACACGGCCCAGACUCCUACGGGAGGCAGCAGUGGGGAAUAUUGGACAAGGGGCGAAAGCCUGAUCCAGCAAUGCCGCGUGAGUGAUGAAGGCCUUAGGGUUGUAAAGCCCUUUUACCCGGGAUGAUAAUGACAGUACCGGGAGAAUAAGCUCCGGCUAACUCCGUG